AGGAAUUUUGACACUGAUGUUGAUAGCACUUCGUUGUCAAAAGAAUUGGAAAAAAUUUUCAGGACAAGAUGCUCCCUGGGAAUGCUUGUUAAAGGGGAGAAGUACUUCUGUCUGCAUCUAGUGAAGUCAGCCCUAUAGUAGAUGAAAUACUAAACUGCUCUGGCCAGAGAUUACACAUCCUGAUGCUCACAGAGUCUUCCAUAGAACAUAUUGCAAGGCAUAAGCAGGCAGCAGAAGUAGAGGAGCUCAAGAUUUAUGAUCGUCUUACUAGCAGAACUACUCUUCCUCCCCAGUAAAGCUUCAAGAAUGAAAUGAAGGGCA
This 321-nucleotide long non-coding RNA is filed under the name Gallus gallus (chicken). The record is from RNAcentral. Lineage: Eukaryota; Metazoa; Chordata; Aves; Galliformes; Phasianidae.